UACGUAGGGUCCGAGCGUUGUCCGGAUUUACUGGGCGUAAAGAGCGCGCAGGCGGUCGUUCAAGUCGCGUGUGAAAGCCCCCGGCUCAACUGGGGAGGGUCACGCGAUACUGAUCGACUCGAAGGCAGGAGAGGGAUGUGGAAUUCCAGGUGUAGCGGUGAAAUGCGUAGAUAUCUGGAGGAACACCGGUGGCGAAGGCGGCAUCCUGGACCGGUAUUGACGCUGAGGCGCGAAAGCUAGGGGAGCAAACGGG
RNAcentral lists this ribosomal RNA (253 nucleotides) under uncultured bacterium. Its description in RNAcentral is "partial 16S ribosomal RNA". It matches the Rfam family "Bacterial small subunit ribosomal RNA", at positions 524 to 776 of the family's 1533-position model. The record is from RNAcentral.